Long non-coding RNA from Xenia sp. Carnegie-2017, 295 nucleotides. RefSeq lists it as uncharacterized. The record is from RefSeq and is a predicted model, not a curated record. The transcript has 2 exons. NCBI's taxonomy places the organism in Eukaryota, Metazoa, Cnidaria, Anthozoa, Malacalcyonacea, Xeniidae.
AUAUUUUCUGAUUUGUGAUUUUCUUGCUGGUAAUUUUAAAAGAUGCAAAGGAGCAAUAAAAGGUUUAAAGCAACUGUAGCUGUCACAUAUCAUGAUGAGGAUGGCCAUGUUGAGAGAGAGGAGGUGCAUUUGUCAGAAUUGGUUACUGAGGAUCAUAGAGGAAGCUGUUCUAUUAACAGUCCUGAUAAUUGUGGUGCAUUGGAAGGCCAUGAACUGGGAAUGGAACAAGAUAACAGUGAUCUUGAAAGUGAUGUUCACCAUGAUUGUGAAGAAUCAUCUUCUUAUUACCAGAAAG